ACGAAUAUAAAGGCUCAACAAGC
Molecule: non-coding RNA, 23 nt
Filed under: Arabidopsis thaliana (thale cress)
Lineage: Eukaryota; Viridiplantae; Streptophyta; Magnoliopsida; Brassicales; Brassicaceae
Source: RNAcentral